Molecule: RNA transcript, 1324 nt
Organism: Brassica oleracea var. oleracea
Lineage: Eukaryota; Viridiplantae; Streptophyta; Magnoliopsida; Brassicales; Brassicaceae
Exons: 4
Source: RefSeq, a predicted model, not a curated record
UUUGUUUUUGUUUUUGUUCUCUCAUAGGUCAUUGAAACUAUAACCCACUAAGUCCCAACAAAUUAAAAAAUAUCUCUUUAUUAUUAUUAUUUUUGUUUGUUUCUUCUUCUUACUUCAAUCUCAAGCAGAACGUUUUGUGUUACAUUAAAAGUGCUAGAAAGUCGGGAGUAAAUAAAGCUCUCGCUUCUUUUCAGUUACUUUCAUUUAUUUUUCUUAUUUGUUUUGUUUUUUCUCUUCAAACUUUAAUUUAUUUUCUCUAUCACUUUUAUUUUCUCUGAAAGUUUCCACAAAGUCUGAAACUUUUCUGAUAUUUGAGUGAGUUAUGCUGAAGAAGAGAUCAAGAAGCAAGCAAGCUUCGUUAAUGGCGGAUACCAACCAGAAACAGAGUAAACCAACGCCGUUUCCACGGCUCUUCACAGCUUUCAGCAGCUUUAAAAGCUUCACUGAAAACGACGCCGUGGCGAGUCCCACCUCCAUCCUCGACACAAAACCUUUCACCGUUUUGAAAAACCCUUUUGGAUCCGAUAACCCGAAACCCUACGAACCCGAGACCCGGCUCAAGCUCGAACCCAAAAGAAUCGGACUCGCUAUUGUCGAUUCUCUCGUCCAAGAAGAAAACCAAGAACCCGGGUUCUCCCGACCAAGAUCCGGGACAAUUAUAUUCGGGUCUCAGCUCCGGAUCCGGGUUCCGGACCCUCCACGUUCUUCGUCGGAUUUUGGGAUCAAAACGAAGAAUCCUCCGGUCUCCCCUUCGCCGGAAGAGAUGAAGAAAACGGUUUCCGGGUCGGGUCUUGCGUCGCCCCGUAUCUUCACCGGCUAUUUCUCGACCAGCGAUAUGGAAUUAUCGGAAGAUUACACGUGCGUUACGUGUCACGGGCCUAACCCGAGAACGAUCCAUAUAUUCGAUAACUGUAUCAUUGAGAGCCAACCCGGUGUCGUUUUGUUCAGGAGCUCCGACCCGGUUAACGAAUCGGAUUGUUUACCAUCCGACAGCUUUCUCAGUACCUGUUGUAACUGUAAGAAGGAUCUUGGACCUCGUGAUGACAUUUUCAUGUACAGGGGAUAUAGAGCCUUCUGUAGCAGCGAAUGCAGGUCACUGGAGAUGAUGUCGGAGGAAAAUGACAUUUAAUGAAAUAAGCGUAUUGAGAUAAUAUAAAAAUGUUAUGAUGGUGUCUAAAAUUAAAACGUUCUAGUAUUAAGAAAAUGAAAAUGUUAGAUAUAAAUUUUGUUUAAUUGCUUUUUGUUUGCUCGGGGCAGAGAUGGUGUCUAUAUCUAUGUGUAGUAUGUGUCUACAUGGCAUAAUCAUAUACAUAUUUUGCUUUAA